GAGAGGAAGCGACAGGGGUGGAGAGAGAGAGAGAGAGGAAGCGACAGGGGUGGAGAGAGAGAGAGAGGAAGCGACGGGUGGAGAGAGAGAGAGAGGAAGCGACAGGGGUGGAGAGAGAGAGAGAGGAAGCGACAGGGGUGGAGAGAGAGAGAGGAAGAGACAGGGGUGGAGAGAGAGAGAGAGGAAGAGACAGGGGUGGAGAGAGAGAGAGGAAGAGACAGGGGGGUGGAGAGAGAGAGAGAGGAAGAGACAGGGGUGGAGAGAGAGAGAGAGGAAGAGACAGGGGUGGAGAGAGAGAGAGAGGAAGAGACAGGGAUGGAGAGAGAGAGAGAGAGGAAGAGACAGGGAUGGAGAGAGAGAGAGAGAGGAAGAGACAGGGAUGGAGAGAGAGAGAGGAAGAGACAGGGAUGGAGAGAGAGAGGAAGAGACAGCGGUGGAGAGAGCGAGAGAGGAAGAGACAGGGGUGGACAGAGCGAGAGAGAGAGACGGGUGGAGAGAGCGAGAGAGGAAGAGAAAGGGGUGGAGAGAGCGAGAGAGGAAGAGACAGGGGUGGAGAGAGCGAGAGAGGAAGAGACAGGGGUGGAGAGAGCGAGAGAGGAAGAGA
Oncorhynchus tshawytscha (Chinook salmon) is the source of this 604-nucleotide long non-coding RNA. The record is from Ensembl. NCBI's taxonomy places the organism in Eukaryota, Metazoa, Chordata, Actinopteri, Salmoniformes, Salmonidae.